AUGAAAUUUGAAUUUGUACAUUGUUCUUUUUAAAUAAGCUGUAGUCAUGUCCUAGGGUUUGAAAAAAAAUAAUUCCACAGUACUUUGAAUACCAUGCAGGUUAUAUUCUUCUCUGAAAUGUAAUCCCAUUCAAGUAGCCAUUAAUUUUAUUUAAUGUAUAUAUAUGUUGUGUACAAGAUGUAAGUUUGUACAAAUUAUAAUUUGUACAGGGUUUUUGUACAAGUUAUAAGUUUUUUUACACCUACCUUCUUG
RNAcentral lists this long non-coding RNA (252 nucleotides) under Mytilus galloprovincialis (Mediterranean mussel). The record is from RNAcentral. Lineage: Eukaryota; Metazoa; Mollusca; Bivalvia; Mytilida; Mytilidae.